Otolemur garnettii (small-eared galago) is the source of this 106-nucleotide small nuclear RNA. The record is from Ensembl. Lineage: Eukaryota; Metazoa; Chordata; Mammalia; Primates; Galagidae.
GUGCUUGCUUCAGCAGCACAUCUACCAAAAUUAGAAGGGUACAGAGAAGAUUACCAUGGCCCCUGCACCAGGGUGACAGGCAAAGUCGUGAAGCCUCCACUUUUAA